Molecule: ribosomal RNA, 492 nt
Filed under: uncultured bacterium
Lineage: Bacteria
Description: partial 16S ribosomal RNA
Rfam family: Bacterial small subunit ribosomal RNA
Source: RNAcentral
AGUGAACGCUGGCGGUAUGCCUAACACAUGCAAGUCGAACGGCAGCACAGUAAGAGCUUGCUCUUACGGGUGGCGAGUGGCGGACGGGUGAGGAAUACAUCGGAAUCUACUUUUUCGUGGGGGAUAACGUAGGGAAACUUACGCUAAUACCGCAUACGACCUACGGGUGAAAGCAGGGGAUCUUCGGACCUUGCGCGAUUGAAUUAGCCGAUGUCGGAUUAGCUAGUUGGCGGGGUAAAGGCCCACCAAGGCGACGAUCCGUAGCUGGUCUGAGAGGAUGAUCAGCCACACUGGAACGGAGACACGGUCCAGACUCCUACGGGAGGCAGCAGUGGGGAAUAUUGGACAAUGGGCGCAAGCCUGAUACAGCCAUCCCGCGUGGGUGAAGAAGGCCUUCGGGUUGUAAAGCCCUUUUGUUGGGAAAGAAAAGCAGCAGGUUAAUACCCAGCUGUUCUGACGGUACCCAAAGAAUAAGCACCGGCUAACUUCGUG